UGAAAUUGUACAUGCAGUGCGUAUGCACCGAAACCGAAAGACGUAAGAAACCGAAAUAGGUUCAUUGAAAUAAAUACACAAAAAAAUAACAACUGAACAAUGUCGCGUCUUUUUUCAUCGGUUCAAUAUUUAGCAACAACAAAAAACAGCAGCAAAAACAACUCAUUGCAUACAUAACACGAAAUACUGUCGUACAUAAAACUGACUACUUGGAACCACCGAUUAGAAGUACUUGACACUCGGCCAACCUAA
This is a long non-coding RNA of Sitodiplosis mosellana (orange wheat blossom midge), 252 nucleotides long. RefSeq lists it as uncharacterized. The transcript is spliced from 2 exons. Lineage: Eukaryota; Metazoa; Arthropoda; Insecta; Diptera; Cecidomyiidae. The record is from RefSeq and is a predicted model, not a curated record.